GUGACAGGUUACAUAACUCAGAAUGAUCUAGAGGCUGUCUUUAAAAGACAAGUUAGUGGUUAAGCAACAUUGUAUUAUACAUGUUUUUCACAUGUAAAAUAUGAUCAGAAAUAGCAUUUCAUUAUACUGAUUAAUCAUUGUGAAUGAUUAGUAUGUGGAGUAUUGUUUUUACGCUCAGUCACAGAAAGUCUGUCGACAUAAAUGAACACAAAAAACAGGAAAUACAUAUAUUAGAGCUGUGUCUUGUGAUUACCAAAGCCCGUCUACGGAAAGCCCCUUCACUCUCUAUUCACCCCCAUUGUACCGAAUUUGGCUGCAGUUCACCUAGGGGGCGAUCGCGGGCGAGUGCAGAAUACAUGGACCCCUAUGGAGCUAGGUGGCUAGCUACAUCAUUCUCCUAGCAUAUCGUCUACAAAAUCCAAAAUACUACUGUGGUUUCCGAGAGGUCGACAGGGAUUUUUCGUCAAAAGUGGAAUAAUCUGGGGGUCAUAGCCUUUUGUUUUCUUACAGGUUGGGCAGUUGCGACCCAGGUUCUGCUAGCAUCUGGCUAAUGAAAGCCGAUUGGUCAAUGAAGAACUCACGACUGGUUACGACCGAAGAAUACGCUUUGUGGUACCUGUCCACAGAACAUCAACAACGCUCUUAAGGUGCCAACCGCCGUUAAAAGAGAAGAAGAAGAAAGCUCUUAAGGAGGACUCUGAAAGGACAUUACAAUCGAACUUUUUUAUUUGAUUAUGGUCAACUUUGGAUGUACUGAUCCUACCACACACAUACAUUGUAUUGUAAAAAUAAAUUUGAAAGUUAACUGAU
Molecule: long non-coding RNA, 810 nt
Organism: Eleginops maclovinus (Patagonian blennie)
Lineage: Eukaryota; Metazoa; Chordata; Actinopteri; Perciformes; Eleginopidae
Exons: 2
Source: RefSeq, a predicted model, not a curated record